GACGAACGCUGGCGGCGUGCUUAACACAUGCAAGUCGAACGGAAAGGCCCUGCUUUUGUGGGGUGCUCGAGUGGCGAACGGGUGAGUAACACGUGAGUAACCUGCCCUUGACUUUGGGAUAACUUCAGGAAACUGGGGCUAAUACCGGAUAGGAGCUCCUGCUGCAUGGUGGGGGUUGGACAGUUUCGGCGGUUGGGGAUGGACUCGCGGCUUAUCAGCUUGUUGGUGGGGUAGUGGCUUACCAAGGCUUUGACGGGUAGCCGGCCUGAGAGGGUGACCGGGCACAUUGGGACUAAGAUACGGCCCAGAGUCCUACGGGAGGCAGCAGUGGGGAAUAUUGCACAAUGGGCGGAAGCCUGAUGCAGCAACGCCGCGUGCGGGAUGACGGCCUUCGGGUUGUAAACCGCUUUCGCCUGUGACGAAGCGUGAGUGACGGUAAUGGGUAAAGAAGCACCGGCUAACUACGUG
This 468-nucleotide ribosomal RNA is filed under the name uncultured bacterium. Its description in RNAcentral is "partial 16S ribosomal RNA". It matches the Rfam family "Bacterial small subunit ribosomal RNA", at positions 28 to 507 of the family's 1533-position model. The record is from RNAcentral.